CCCGGAGGAAACCCCCAAGGCACGGGGAGAACAUGCAAACUCCACACACACAAGGCGGAGGUGGGAAUCGAACCCCCAACCCUGGAGGUGUGAGGCGAACGUGCUAACCACUAGAUUUACCUAAUUAUAGUCUAUAAGUUUAAAGUUUAAAAUUAAGUUACUAUUCAUCUCUAACAUCUAUCCCUAAUGAGCAAGCCGGAGGCGAUGAUGACAAAAAAAAAUCCCUUAGAUGAUUUGAGCAAGAAACCUUGAGAGGAACCAGACUCGGAAGGGACCCCAUCCUCAUCCGGGUGGGUAAAACUUUACAAUGAAAUAAUGUCAAAGUAAAUGAUGUCCUUUUCCUUUACAACAGUUUGUAGUUGAGUGGAAUUAAGCAACCAAGAGCUCCAGAUGAACAAAUGGGUCAGCGCAAUAUCCGAGUUCACCAUAGACCCAACACUAAUUCCAUCCUGACAAAGUCUUCAAGUUAAUCGCUCAUGAACGCCCAAUCAUAAAGCUGACUGAUGUAACAGUGGACCAAAGACCACUAAGGUACUCACUGUGUGUAAUGGUACACUGAUGCUGCCAGAGCGUUGCCAGAUCCUCCGGGGAGAAUGCCAAGUGGUGUGCUGAUCGCUUCAUCCCAGUCCUCUCUCUCCAUCAAGCCAUUGAUCACCUGCAGGACACCCCCACCCCAGACAGACCUGUGGUGAUGAGUGUGUGAGAGAUGUUUGCCUCAGUGAGCAUGCUCAGUACAGGGCCCGUGUAGAGAGUCAUCGCCUGGCCUCGUCCGCUCUGAGGGUUCACCAACACCAUCACACGCCGGCUGAC
Molecule: long non-coding RNA, 810 nt
Organism: Tachysurus fulvidraco (yellow catfish)
Lineage: Eukaryota; Metazoa; Chordata; Actinopteri; Siluriformes; Bagridae
Exons: 3
Source: RefSeq, a predicted model, not a curated record